CCUACUGUGUGCAGCAGUGGGGAAUCUUCCGCAAUGGGCGAAAGCCUGACGGAGCAACGCCGCGUGAUCGAAUAAAGGCCUUCGGGUUGUAAAGAUCUGUUGACAGGGACGAAUAAGCCAUGCGAAUAGUUUGGUGUAUGACGGUACCUGUUUAGACAGCUCCGGCUAACUACGUGCCAGCAGCCGAGUUAAUACGUAGUGAGCAAACGUUGUCCGGAAUUAAUGGGCGUAAAGGGCGCGUAGGUGGGUGCUUAAGUCAUGUGUGAAAAGUCUGGGGGCAACCUGGAAUGUGCAUUUGAGACUGGGUAUCUUGAGAGCAGGAGAGGAAAGUGGAAUGCCUAGGGUAGCGGGGAAAUGCGUAGAUAUUAGGAGGAACACCAGUGGCGAAGGCGACUUUCUGGCCUGGACCUGACGCUGAGGCGCGAAAGCGUGGGUAGCGAACGGGAUUAGAGACCCCGGUAGUC
This 464-nucleotide ribosomal RNA is filed under the name uncultured bacterium. Its description in RNAcentral is "partial 16S ribosomal RNA". It matches the Rfam family "Bacterial small subunit ribosomal RNA", at positions 338 to 795 of the family's 1533-position model. The record is from RNAcentral.